AACGGCCGUACCAUGCUGAAUAUACCGGUUCUCGUUAGAUCACCGAAGUGAAGCAUCAUUGGGCGCGGUGGGUGACCACCUGGGAACACCGCGUGUCGUU
This is a non-coding RNA of Caerostris darwini, 100 nucleotides long. The record is from the annotation of a GenBank genome assembly. Lineage: Eukaryota; Metazoa; Arthropoda; Arachnida; Araneae; Araneidae.